AGGGCACCACCAGGAGUGGAGCCUGCGGCUUAAUUUGACUCAACACGGGAAAACUCACCCGGCCCGGACACUGGAAGGAUUGACAGAUUGAGAGCUCUUUCUUGAUUCAGUAGGUGGUGGUGCAUGGCCGUUCUUAGUUGGUGGAGUGAUUUGUCUGGUUAAUUCCGAUAACGAACGAGACUCUAGCCUACUAAAUAGAUCGUCGGCUUACAAACGCCGACGAGACUUCUUAGAGGGACAGGCGGUGAUUCAACCGCACGAAACAGAGCAAUAACAGGUCUGUGAUGCCCUUAGAUGUCCGGGGCCGCACGCGCGCUACACUGAAGUGAUCAGCGUGCUUUUGUCAACCUACUCUGUCAAGAGUGGGGAACCCAAUGAACCUUCUUCGUGAUUGGGAUAGGGGAUUGUAAUUAUUCCCCUUGAACGAGGAAUUCCCAGUAAGCGCGAGUCAUAAGCUCGCGUUGAUUACGUCCCUGCCCUUUGUACACACCGCCCGUCGCUACUACCGAUUGAAUGUUU
This 519-nucleotide ribosomal RNA is filed under the name uncultured eukaryote. RNAcentral's name for it is "SSU rRNA". It matches the Rfam family "Eukaryotic small subunit ribosomal RNA", at positions 1161 to 1698 of the family's 1831-position model. The record is from RNAcentral.